GCAAGUCGCACGAGAACGCUUCAGCUUGCUGAGGCUAGUAAAGUGGCGCACGGGUGAGUAACGCGUGGGUAAUCUCCCCCUGAAUUGGGGAUAACAUUGCGAAAGCGAUGCUAAUACCGGAUAAUAUCUUUAGUACUUCGGUACGUAAGAUCAAAGGUGGCCUCUACAUGUAAGCUACUGUUUGGGGAUGAGCCCGCGUACCAUUAGCUUGUUGGUAGGGUAACGGCCUACCAAGGCAGCGAUGGUUAGCUGGUCUGAGAGGAUGACC
This 268-nucleotide ribosomal RNA is filed under the name uncultured bacterium. RNAcentral describes it as "partial 16S ribosomal RNA". It matches the Rfam family "Bacterial small subunit ribosomal RNA", at positions 57 to 305 of the family's 1533-position model. The record is from RNAcentral.